GUAGGCUGCAACUCGCCUACAUGAAGCUGGAAUUGCUAGUAAUCAUAGGUCAGCAUACUAUGGUGAAUACGUUCCCGGGCCUUGUACACACCGCCCGUCACACCAUGAGAGUUGAGAAUACCCGAAGUCCAUGUCAAAGUGGCCGAAGGUAGGCUUGAUGAUUGGGGUGAAGUCGUAACAAGGUAGC
This 187-nucleotide ribosomal RNA is filed under the name uncultured bacterium. RNAcentral describes it as "partial 16S ribosomal RNA". It matches the Rfam family "Bacterial small subunit ribosomal RNA", at positions 1300 to 1500 of the family's 1533-position model. The record is from RNAcentral.